Passer domesticus (house sparrow) is the source of this 636-nucleotide long non-coding RNA. RefSeq lists it as uncharacterized. Lineage: Eukaryota; Metazoa; Chordata; Aves; Passeriformes; Passeridae. The record is from RefSeq and is a predicted model, not a curated record. The transcript is spliced from 3 exons.
CUGUCUUGGAUCAUUUUAUUGUCAGUUUUCCUACUGGGAAAUGUAUUGUGUGUGUAGGAUUGUGCCUACACAGACCCAGUUACCAGAUCAAACUGCUGCUUACAAGAUCAGCCAUGGCACUUGUGAUAACAAUCUAUUCUGAUUUUACAGUCAUCAACACUCAUCAGGGUAAACAAGAAUCUUUCCACUGACCUUAACAGGAGCUGGAGCUGAUCGCAAAUAACCUGGAGUUUGAAAAGAGACUGGAGAUGACAAUUUCAGAAUCCUUGUGAAGCAGAAGGGAAGGGGUAACACAACAGCCCUGACAAUGAAACUUGACCCAGAUCAUGGUGAAACAAUCCCAGAAGAACAGCAGAACUGGGGGCUCUCAGAACCUGUUGAGGGCUGCAAGGAAAUUGAAAGAAAUAGAAACAAAUGCUGGAAUUGAGGUCUCAGAGAUCAGGAGACCUGAUCAUGCUUAUCUGCCAGAAUCACUGCAAUUGAUUUCUCUGAGCACCAGAUCAGGCCCACAGAGUGUGUGGAGGGAAGCUUUUCCACUGGAUUUUGAGAUGAAGGAAAAGAAAAACACAGACAGAGGGAAAUAUGACUUCUUUGCCUGUAAAAAUGCUAAUUUAUCACUGCCACAUAUAGAAAGAG